UACGGAGGGUGCAAGCGUUAUCCGGAAUUACUGGGCGUAAAGCGCACGUAGGCGGACCUUUAAGUCAGGGGUGAAAUCCCGGGGCUCAACCUCGGAACUGCCUUUGAUACUGGAGGUCUCGAGACCGGAAGAGGUGAGUGGAAUUCCUAGUGUAGAGGUGAAAUUCGUAGAUAUUAGGAAGAACACCAGUGGCGAAGGCGGCUCACUGGUCCGGUUCUGACGCUGAGGUGCGAAAGCGUGGGGAGCAAACAGG
Molecule: ribosomal RNA, 253 nt
Filed under: uncultured bacterium
Lineage: Bacteria
Description: partial 16S ribosomal RNA
Rfam family: Bacterial small subunit ribosomal RNA
Source: RNAcentral